AAGUCGUAACAAGGUUUCCGUAGGUGAACCUGCGGAAGGAUCAUUAAUGAAAUGAUUUUUUUUUGGGGUUUUUUAACCUCAAAAAAUAAUUCACCUCUUGUGCACUGUUAUAAGAUAUACUUUGGUUAGAGCUUUGAUUUCAUUUAAUGGAAUCAACUUCUUGCUGACUCUAUCCUUUCUGAGGACAGUUGGCUAUGAAGCGGCCUACCAAGGUUUUUUAUCAAACACAUUUAAUUUAUCUGACCUAAAUCAUUAUAAUAAAAUCAUAACUUUCAACAACGGAUCUCUUGGCUCUC
Molecule: unclassified non-coding RNA, 296 nt
Filed under: fungal sp.
Lineage: Eukaryota; Fungi
Description: partial internal transcribed spacer region
Rfam family: Eukaryotic small subunit ribosomal RNA (bases 1-46)
Source: RNAcentral